RNAcentral lists this ribosomal RNA (443 nucleotides) under uncultured bacterium. RNAcentral's name for it is "SSU rRNA". It matches the Rfam family "Bacterial small subunit ribosomal RNA", at positions 26 to 518 of the family's 1533-position model. The record is from RNAcentral.
AGAACGAACGCUGGCGGCAGGCCUCAAACAUGCAAGUCUAGGGGGGUAGCAAUACCCACCGGCGGACGGGUGCGUAACACGUGGGAAUAUACCUUUCGGUACGGAACAACUGCGGGAAACUGCAGCUAAUACCGUAUACGUCCUAACGGAGAAAGAUUUAUCGCCGAAGGAUUAGCCCGCGUCCGAUUAGCUAGUUGGUGAGGUAAUGGCUCACCAAGGCUCCGAUCGGUAGCUGUUCUGAGAGGAAGAUCAGCCACACUGGGACUGAGACACGGCCCAGACUCCUACGGGAGGCAGCAGUUGGGAAUCUUGGACAAUGGGGAAACCCUGAUCCAGCCAUGCCGCGUGAGUGAUGAAGGCCUUGGGUGUAAAACUCUUUCGACGGGGACGAUAAUGACGGUACCCGUAGAAGAAGCUCCGGCUAACUUCGUGCCAGCAGCCGC